GGCGGUGUAGCUCAGCUGGUCAGAGCACACGGUUCAUACCCGUGGAGUCAGUGGUUCGAAUCCACUCACCGCCACCA
Molecule: transfer RNA, 77 nt
Filed under: Paenalicyclobacillus ferrooxydans
Lineage: Bacteria; Bacillati; Bacillota; Bacilli; Caryophanales; Alicyclobacillaceae
Description: Alicyclobacillus ferrooxydans tRNA-Met
Rfam family: tRNA
About the family: Transfer RNA (tRNA) molecules are approximately 80 nucleotides in length. Their secondary structure includes four short double-helical elements and three loops (D, anti-codon, and T loops).
Source: RNAcentral